RNAcentral lists this ribosomal RNA (395 nucleotides) under uncultured bacterium. RNAcentral describes it as "bacterial SSU rRNA". It matches the Rfam family "Bacterial small subunit ribosomal RNA", at positions 29 to 416 of the family's 1533-position model. The record is from RNAcentral.
AACGAACGCUGGCGGCGUGCUUAACACAUGCAAGUCGAAUGUGAAAGGCUUCGGUCGAGUAAAGUGGCGAACGGGUGAGUAACGCGUGGGUAAUCUGCCCUCGGGCGGGGGAUAACCUCUCGAAAGGGGGGCGUAAUACCGCAUGAGACCACGGCUUCUUGGAGCUGUGGGAAAAGGUGGGUCGCAAGACCAGCCACCUGAGGAUGAGCCCGCGUACCAUUAGGUAGUUGGUGGGGUAAUGGCCUACCAAGCCUGAGAUGGUUAGCUGGUCUGAGAGGACGAUCAGCCACACUGGGACUGAGACACGGCCCAGACUCCUACGGGAGGCAGCAGUGGGGAAUAUUGCGCAAUGGGGGAAACCCUGACGCAGCAACGCCGCGUGUGUGAAGAAGGCC